Molecule: long non-coding RNA, 2290 nt
Organism: Homo sapiens (human)
Lineage: Eukaryota; Metazoa; Chordata; Mammalia; Primates; Hominidae
Exons: 3
Source: RefSeq, a predicted model, not a curated record
CACUUCACAGACACAGAAAUGUGCUAAAAGGCAAGUUGUGUUUCUUUCUUGUAUCUAAGGAAAUGGUCCCACUGAGGCCCAAGACUUGACAGUGGAAGUCUUGCCAAUUUAAAGUCUAAUGAAGAUUGUGAAUUAUUGACUGGCACAAGUAGAGCUUCCUGCACUCAAUGAUGGACAACUGAAGGCCUGUGCUAGCACUCUGUUUGGUACUUAGGAGAGUGUGGCUCAAUUUUUCCACUUUCUUUAAGAUGUGAAACUUCAGUCAACCUCUUUGUGUCAGAUUCCCUCCAUCUUGAAAACAAUUUCUGCCGCCUCCUACCUUCUCUGCUACAGGAUGACUAAUGUCCGUGCAGAACUGCAGGACUUCUGAAAGAACCACAUGCUUUUGGGGCCAGAGGAAGCCAACCACCUGGCUGUGUGUUCCCCUUCUUUCAUCUCCUACUGCUAAGGGCCUUGGCCUCUGAAGGGCAGCAACAAGAGCACCAGCUAACUUUCUUGAAAAUUCACUCUGCCAGAAGCCCUGCUGAGAGCUCUACACACCUUCGUCUAUUUAAUCAUCCCAAAGACACUGUUGGGAGGUAUAGUUACCAGCCCCAUUUAGCAGGUUGGGAGACUCCGAGGUUGUCACCUGCCAAAGGCCACAGACCUAGAAAGUGUUAGAACUGGGACAAACCCACAUCGGAAUGAUUCCAAAGCCCUUACUCUUAGCAGUAAGACCUCGAUGUCUCCCUGGCAUUGUUAGGAGUCCUCAAAUCCAUUGUCUAUGGACUGAGUACAAAAUACAUACAUAUUCUAUAGAGAAUAAUAACAUAUAAAUUCAUCAUUAAUACAUUCCUUGGAGCUUAUUAUAUUCUCAGUUAAUUGUGUACAAAAAUUGCAUCAACUCAAAAAUGCUGGCAUUCUCUGUCCUUCAGUCGUUAUCCCUGUGUCCUCUGUGUACAGUACUGAUUAGCUUGUCUGGUGCCAUUACUCAUCUCCCAGUGUUUGUGUCACUUCUUCAACAAGGUAAACUCCUAGUAAGUGGGACUACAGAAAAUAGGGUUUCUUUUGAGUCCUGCCUGGUCCCACUCCAAGGUCUUACACUUGAUAGAUACAGAUUUAGCUAACUGGUUGAUUACAACAACCUCUGUAAUACUCCUCCUCAUAUUGGCCCACAGAAUGAUACAUCUCAAGUCUCCUGCCCUGUAUCCCGCUGGAGAUGCCCUAAUGUGGCCUGCAUGCUUCCAACAGCCCAGACUGUAAUGAAAAUAGCUACCAUGUAUUCAGCACGUUCUGUUCACUAGGCUCUAUACUCGGUGCAGGGGAUACUGUUGUGAAGAAAACAAAGCGCAGAGCUCAGCUAUUGUAUUAAUGCAAUGUGGGAUGGCAUUUCAUUAACAUAACCACCUAGAGGAGGGUAUCAUCUUCUCCCUUUUACUGAUGGAAAAGUUGUAGAGGAGCAGAACUUGAACUAGGGUUUAUCUCAAUAUGUUUUGAUUUGUGGGUCACUACCCAUUGUUGGAUUAAUGGGUGCUAAAUGUAUUUAGUGGGUCAUAACUAACAUUUAUUUUAAUGGAUUGGUUUGGGAUGGAAGGACCAGAGUACAUAGCAUGUAAUAGAAGUAUUAUUUGCUGAAACUUUUGUUUCAUUUACAUACAGACAUAUAGAGAGUUGCAAUAUAUUUCUUACUGUGAGUCAUGUCAGAAAACAUAUGAAAGCCACUGGUUUGUUCAAAUCCCAAUCUGUUCUUCUAUUUUCUAUACUGUCUCCUCAAAAAAAUAAAUUUCCCAAAUUAUUUCAAGAUUCUUUGGAAAUUUCCUUGAAUAUAUUUGGCCCUGAUUCUGCUUUAGAAUAUGCUGCCAGGCUCAGGCAGUGUGGCUAUGCCCCAUGCUCCCUCCCACUGGAAAGCAUCAUUUCAUAGGCUGCUGAAGAGCUCUUUCCCAUGUUGGCAAUCGCAGGCAGCUCCCCCUCGCCCAACUACUGUCUCAAUUGGUUUUACCAGCCUAAAGAGAUGCACAGUUGAGUUCCAUGGCAACCACCAAGAUAGGCUGGAGAUCACUUAAUUUUUGAUAUCGCUUAAUAAUAAUAAGAGGGCAGCAAAUGGCACAAGAAAAAGGACAGGUAAUGACACCUAAUCUCUUGAGGGCCAGAACCAUGGUGAUAUACUCACUAUGUUUCCCUCAAGCUUUUUAGCAUGGAGCCACUAAGACAGGAGACUGAAGAUACAAAAUGAUGUCUGAAGGGUUGUAUUAGUCUGUUUUGUGUUGCUAUAAAGGAACACUUGAGGUUGGGUAAUUUAUAAAGAAAAAAA